GAUGAAGAACGUAGUGAAAUGCGAUAAGUAGUGUGAAUUGCAGAAUUCAGUGAAUCAUCGAAUCUUUGAACGCACAUUGCGCCCCUUGGUAUUCCGAGGGGCAUGCCUGUUCGAGCGUCAUUUCAACCCUCAAGCACAGCUUGGUCUUGGGCUUCGCCGCUAACCCGGCGGGUCUUAAAAUCAGUGGCGGUGCCGUCGGGCCCUGAGCGCAGUAAUCUCUCUCGCUAUAGGGUCCCGGCGGAUGCUGGCCAGUAACCCCCAAUUUUCUAUGGUUGACCUCGGAUCAGGUAGGGAUACCCGCUGAACUUAAGCAUAUCAAUAAGCGGAGGA
RNAcentral lists this unclassified non-coding RNA (330 nucleotides) under soil metagenome. RNAcentral describes it as "partial contains 5.8S ribosomal RNA, internal transcribed spacer 2, and large subunit ribosomal RNA". The stretch from base 1 to 120 matches the Rfam family "5.8S ribosomal RNA", at positions 35 to 154 of the family's 154-position model. The record is from RNAcentral.